This 4099-nucleotide unclassified non-coding RNA is filed under the name Leishmania donovani. RNAcentral's name for it is "gene:LdHU3.31.4450(CDS-product:metal-ion_transpor ter_putative)". The record is from RNAcentral. Lineage: Eukaryota; Euglenozoa; Kinetoplastea; Trypanosomatida; Trypanosomatidae.
AGAACUGCACAACUCGGCUGCACAUUCUUUUUUUUUUUCGUGCGUUACGGCUCUGGUCUUCCUGUGCGCGUGUCUUUCGAUUGGUUUCGUGGGCUUCUCUUUGUUGCCGUUUUCGACUCUUCUCACCGCGCCUCAUCCCCCUCUUCGGCCGUUGCUUCUCCCCAGAAGAUUUGCUUUGGCAUCUCCGCGUUUCUGGUGCCCUUCACCGAGGUAUUCAGCUCCCUUCCUGUCUCCGCCGCCGCCGCCUCCCUCUCUCCCUCGCCCUCCUUCUCUGUGUGCUGCAUCGCUGUCUUCGUAGGAUUGAUGAGUUGCUGUCGCCGCGUCACUCCCCAACGAGUUCUGAGCUGCUUGAUCCACUGACAGGUACCUCUGCCGCUGUGAAUACUUCGAAAUCUAUCUGUAUCUCUAUCUAUACAUAUAUACACUUGCUAUUGGGUCCUGUGACGAUGUCACCUGAGCAACCGAGAGAGACGACGGGGUUGACGGUGGCCCCUGCCGGUCCGGCGGCGACCAACUACCACACUGCGUCUAAUACGGUGCACGUCACGGUUGCCGAAGAGCGCACGAUCGAUGAGGCGCUGUCCGCCGUCAAUGCCCGCCGCGAGUCGGAGAAGAAGGUUCUCCUGGGCGCCCUCAUUUUCUGCUUUGUCUUUAUGAUCGUCGAGUUUGCCAGCGGUGUGAUUGCCCACUCGCUGGCCCUACUCACGGACGCCAUCCACUUGUUGACCGAUGUCGGGUCCUAUGCGCUGAGUAUUGGUGCCCUUGUCGCAGCUGGGCGUGCGGCGUGCGGCCGCUACAGCUACGGCUGGCACCGGGCUGAGGUGAUUGGCACCCUCAUCUCUGUCUUUUCGAUCUGGGCGUUGGUGACCUGGAUUGUCAUUGAGGCAGGGUACCGCACCUACGACAUGUACAUGUGCAGUCGCGUACCGGCGCAAGCUUCCGCUGGCGCAGUGAAGGCUCGCGAGUGUCAAGCAGUGGACUCGCGUCUCAUGAUUUUAGUUGGUGUGCUUGGCAUGCUGGUGAACGUUGUGUGUGCCUCCAUCCUCUACUUUGGCGGCUCUCACGGCCACAGCCACUUCGGCUCCUCGCACGGGCACAGCCACGGCGAGAGUGAGAUGCACGACCAUGAUCACAGUCAUAGAGACCUUCACGAGGGCGGCCACGGACACAACCACGCACACGACGACCGUCACGAUCACGGGCACGACCAUGGACACGGUCACGGAUAUCUAGCGGAAAGCGGUGGCGGCAUUGGCAGCCACAAGGGUUUUGCCGUGCACGCCGCUAUCCUGCAUGCCAUGGGCGACUGCGUCCAAUCCAUCGGUGUCAUUUUCGCUGGUAGUUUCAUCUACUUCAGCAACUUAGCCUACUACGGCAAUCACACGUACGAGCACUCCCUCUUCAACCUUGCCGACCCGUUCUGCUCCGUCAUGUUCGCUCUCAUCACGCUGAGCAUGACCAAGGCGCUGCUGAUGGACCUGCUUAGUAUUCUGAUGGAGAGCACGCCGGCAAGCGUCGACUACUAUGCACUGGAGACGGCGCUCCAGCAGAUCGACGGUGUCGCCAGUGUGCACGACCUGCACGUAUGGUCCCUAUCUGCCGAGUACGUCUCCCUCUCGGUGCACCUGGUGGCGGACAAUGCCGCCGAGGCGCUGCAAAAGGCGCAGCACAUCUGCAAGGAGCACUUUGGCAUUGGCCACACCACCAUUCAGAUCGACUCAGUGGCUGUCGGCACAGCCGGGUGCGCCAGCGCCUGCGCUUCGCCGACUGCGCAUGAUGAGAUUUUGAGCCACUACAUGUGAGGUACCGACGGCUUUCUGUGGCUGAGAUGUGGCCUGUCAAGGCACCACUCUUCGCUACCCUCCUCUCCAACGAACGCCGUGUUGCGCGUUCCUCAGCUGAUGAAACGGUGCGUCUGUGCCCGUAUGUGUAACACAAGCUUCCCUCGAGUGAAGGAAGAAGGCAACGCGAAAAGGAAGCCGGAUAAAGUAUGCGGCGUGCGACACACGAGAGUAGGCUAUAAACCAACUAACAGGAUCCACAACACGGCGGCCGUGAGCUGCGAUGGGGAUGGGCGCGAAUGAGGCGCGUGAGAGGAGGCUUCUCUGCGCCUAUGUGCUCUUCGUUUUUCCACGUAUGUGUGUGUUUGUGCCUCGGUUUUGUAUCUUGCACAAACGUGCGCGAGGCGGCGCAGGCAAUUUGAAUAGCAUCGCUUGCGGCAGUCUGCAACAUCGGGUUUGUAUGAUUUUUUCUUUUUUUUACAUUUGCCGCGUUUUGUGCUCUGUGCCUGCCUGUCUCACAGAGUAAAGACUCAGCUCAUUCUUUGUCUGUGCCCAUGGGAUGCGCUGGCUCAUGACACUUUUCUUUUCCGUAUUUUCCUGCCUUCCCUUCGCUGUGAGUCGCCUUCUCUUCCUCUCUUCACGCUGCCGCCCUGGCGGUUUGCCUAUAACCGUCGCCCUCUCGCCCUCUUUCUCUUUCUCGCCGCUACAUCUUGCACCUUUCUGCUCCUCCAGCGGACUGGAGCGCGUGGCGACACCGGCUGUCGCUCUCGUGGCUCGCACAGAGUCUGAAGUGGGCAGAGAAGCGGAAGAGCCACACGGAAAUGUGCGCGAAAAAGAAAAAGAACAUUGACGGUCUCCUUUUCCAAACUGUGCUCGCGCUUGCGUGAUCUGGCAUGCGUGCGUCCGGGUAUGUGGGGGCAUCGAUUGUCGGUUCGCUUCCCCCGCACAGGAUCAUUUUGCGCCGCUCGGUACAAAGUCCCCGCCGUCACAGCGGGCCACGUCUGUUGGCGCCUCGCGACGAACACUCAGGCACGGAUUCAAAAUCAGCUCUUGCACACAUGUAGGCAGUAAUGCGAUUUACCUCUUGCGACGUCCGCGUGCCUCAUCCAGUUUAGCUCUUUGGCUUGGGAAUUUUUUUUCUUUCGAGGCGGGUGCACCGGCACUUCUGUUUUUCUGUCGUGUGGACGUCCCCCUCCCCUCUCCUUCCGCCUCAUCGUUUUCUUUUUUUUUUUCGUUCGCUCUUUAUGUCCGCGUUUGCAGCGUGCUAAAACGUUAACAUCACCGAGUUGUGUGCAUUCAAGUGCUAGGUGUGUGCCGAUGCGUACGUGUGUGUGUGAAUGUAUAUACAUAUAUGUCUGUGUCGCGUAGAGGAUACCCCUCUGUCACGGCGUCCGUGUCGUCGCCGUGCUCGUUUCUUUUCAUUGCUUCUUUCUAUAUGGUGCGAGAGGCACCCCGCUCCGUUGCGCAGAGCAUUCAAUUUUCCUUUUUGCUGUUCGCGUACUCUUCAUGGGACGUCGUGUGGAUCUCUGCGCAUACGGGUGGGUGUCUUCCUACACAUGAAAGAUGCGAAUAAAGUUGCAGAUACGGCGCGGCCGUCAAUCUUUAGGUUUCCAGCAAACGAGAGGAGGUUUCAGCCACGCAGCCAAAGACUCUGCGCAUGCGUGCGAGUGACUACUGCCCUUGAUGCUCACGCGUUUUUCUUCGUGAAUGUAGGGCAUGGUGGGUCUGACGCAUUUGUAGUGCGACGGUGCGGAAACGUACUUGGCUGCUCUGCUGCUUGAUGCGCAGCACCAGCUGCGCGAAGGAGUGCGAUCCCUCCUCCUUUUUUUUUAUCUUCGUAGAGCGUGUGUUCACAGUAAUCGGUUUUAGUUGUGUGGGCUGUUGGCUCUCCGCUGUCGCACAUGAAUGUGUUCGGUGCGCUGCAGAAUGGAGGUGAGCAGAAGCAAAGAGCGUGUGCGUGUGUAUAUAAAUAGAUGGAUUCUAAGGGAAGUCUCUGUGUGCCGGAUGCGGGCGCAUAUGUCCAUGUAUAGCAUAUACCUGUGGCACGCCACGUGCCUGUGUAUUUACGUAUUCAUGCGUGUGUGCGUUAAAAUAUCCUCUGUUUGUGGGCCGCCUCAGGCGGUGCGGCGCACGCACUUCGAUCCGCGAAAGAAAAAGACGAAACGAAAAGAAAAGAGGCCAGUGGACGCUGUGUGUGUGCGUGUCGCUCCGUUCACGCAGACUAGUCUGGGGAGAAGAGACCAACCUGCGCGUCGCAUGAGAAUCCGCUUGAGGCUAUGUGAGGGCCACUUGCAUCCGGCUUGACCGCUGAGUUGCGC